RNAcentral lists this ribosomal RNA (433 nucleotides) under uncultured bacterium. RNAcentral describes it as "partial 16S ribosomal RNA". It matches the Rfam family "Bacterial small subunit ribosomal RNA", at positions 29 to 507 of the family's 1533-position model. The record is from RNAcentral.
AACGAACGCUGGCGGCAUGCCUAACACAUGCAAGUCGAACGAGACCUUCGGGUCUAGUGGCGCACGGGUGCGUAACGCGUGGGAACCUGCCCUUAGGUUCGGAAUAACUCCCCGAAAGGGGUGCUAAUACCGGAUAAUGUCUUAGGACCAAAGAUUUAUCGCCUUUGGAUGGGCCCGCGUUGGAUUAGCUAGUUGGUAGGGUAAAAGCCUACCAAGGCGACGAUCCAUAGCUGGUAUGAGAGGAUGAUCAGCCACACUUGGACUGAGACACGGCCCAGACUCCUACGGGAUGCAGCAGUGGGGAAUAUUGGACAGUGGGCGGAAGCCUGAUGCAGCAAUGCCGCGUGAGUGAUGAAGGCCUUAGGGUUGUAAAGCUCUUUUACCCGGGAUGAUAAUGACGGUACCGGGAGAAUAAGCUCCGGCUAACUCCGUG